GACGGAGGAUGCAAGUGUUAUCCGGAAUCACUGGGCGUAAAGCGUCUGUAGGUGGUCAAAUAAGUCAACUGUUAAAUCUUGAGGCUCAACCUCAAAAUCGCAGUCGAAACUAUUAGACUAGAGUAUAGUAGGGGUAAAGGGAAUUUCCAGUGGAGCGGUGAAAUGCGUAGAGAUUGGAAGGAACACCGAUGGCGAAGGCACUUUACUGGGCUAUUACUAACACUCAGAGACGAAAGCUAGGGUAGCAAAUGGG
RNAcentral lists this ribosomal RNA (253 nucleotides) under uncultured bacterium. Its description in RNAcentral is "partial 16S ribosomal RNA". It matches the Rfam family "Bacterial small subunit ribosomal RNA", at positions 524 to 776 of the family's 1533-position model. The record is from RNAcentral.